GUUACGGAGGCCGUAGAUCGCCUGGUGGAUGCCUUUCGGGGAGGCAUCAGGUGGAGAUCUGGCAGGAGAAGAGGAAAAAAAUAUCGAAGAAGAUGACCGGAGACAGUCCCAUUGAGUACUCCUUUAAGAAUAAGGGUCCUGCGAAGACACAGACCCUCCCUCUAGCGCCAAUUCUGUUGAUACAGAAUUUCACCGAUGCUGGAGAAGCUGGAGUCGAAGGAAUCACGGCCACCGUCGGGACCUGCAAGAGAAGUCUAAACCAGAGUUGGGGGUGCUCCGGCAAGACCCUCCGACGCUCAAGUCAGUACUCUGCUUCAACAGAAAUGGAGCACUCGAAUGGAAUUUUAGCAGAAUUUCGAGAUAGAGUUUAGAGCUUAAAGGAGAACGUAUCUAGGAGAUCUUUUUUAUAGAUGGAAGAGCGUAACCGAUUGAUAGUGACGUUCGUAACUACCUGAUAGUGGGCCGUUCAGGACCACGUGGAGUUUGUUACGGAGAGUGGAGUGGUGUCUGUUAUCGCGACUUGCCAGAGAGUGGUGAGGCCACGUGGAAUCUGUUACAGAGAGUGGAGUGGUGUCCAUUAUCGUGACUUGCCGGAGAGUUCGGGCUGGACGGCUGAAGCUCGACUGGAACGUCUAAUGGAGCAGAAUGGCUUUCUAUCUCAGCAAUCUAAGAGAAGCUCGAAUAUUUUCGAGAUUGCUGACGAGUCCACUGUUGUUGGGUGCCUUAGGCGCUGAUGCUGCAGCGAAAGUCAUCUGUUGUAGAAGCUCGAACGGAAACUUUCUGUUGGAGAAGUCCGGUAGGAGUCUGAUUGCUAGAGAAGUCCGUCUGAAAU
Molecule: long non-coding RNA, 832 nt
Filed under: Elaeis guineensis (African oil palm)
Lineage: Eukaryota; Viridiplantae; Streptophyta; Magnoliopsida; Arecales; Arecaceae
Description: long non-coding RNA (EGUI_LNC030078)
Source: RNAcentral